This is a non-coding RNA of Octopus bimaculoides (California two-spot octopus), 92 nucleotides long. The record is from Rfam. Lineage: Eukaryota; Metazoa; Mollusca; Cephalopoda; Octopoda; Octopodidae.
GCCCGCAUAGCUCAGUCGGUAGAGCAUCAGAUUUUUAUAGGUCAACCUUAGAAGUAAUCUGCGGGUCGCGGGUUCGAGUCCCUCUGUGGGUG